AGCCCGGUCGUCUAGCGGUCAAGGAUGCGGGGCUUUGGACCCCGUGACGCCGGUUCGAAUCCGGCCCGGGCUACCA
This 76-nucleotide transfer RNA is filed under the name Nitrososphaerota archaeon. RNAcentral describes it as "tRNA-Gln". It matches the Rfam family "tRNA". Rfam says of the family: Transfer RNA (tRNA) molecules are approximately 80 nucleotides in length. Their secondary structure includes four short double-helical elements and three loops (D, anti-codon, and T loops). RNAcentral also lists the same sequence under 1 other name. The record is from RNAcentral. Lineage: Archaea; Thermoproteati; Nitrososphaerota.